Long non-coding RNA from Myodes glareolus (Bank vole), 528 nucleotides. RefSeq lists it as uncharacterized. NCBI's taxonomy places the organism in Eukaryota, Metazoa, Chordata, Mammalia, Rodentia, Cricetidae. The record is from RefSeq and is a predicted model, not a curated record.
CUUAGCACUGUGGCCAUGAAAUGAGGACAGGUGAGACUCCACAGUUGUGGUUGGCGUGAUAGUGUGACUAUAAUUGGCCCCUAUGAGUGCAUAGGGAGUGGCACUGUUAGGAGGUGUGGCUUUGUUGGAAUGGGUAUGGCCUUGCCGGAAGGGUGUCACUGUGGGGGUGGGCUUUGAGGUUUCCUAUGCUCAGGAUACGGUUGAAAGUCUUAAUCAACUUCCUGUUCCUUUCUGAUCAAGAUGUAGCCAGCACCACACCUGCCUGGGUGUUGCAUGAGGAUAAUGGACUGAACCUCUGAAACUAUGAUCAAAUUUUAUUUGUGUGGGUCGUUUGCAGACAGUGCCUUCAGAGGGCAGAAGAGGGCGUCGGAGUCUCUGGAACUGGAGUUACAGCUGGUUGUAAGCCACCAAAAGGGUGGCAGGAACCAACCUUGUCCUCUACCAGGGGCACAAGUGUCCUUAACUGCUGAGCCAUCUCCCCAGACCUUAAAAAAAGAAAAAUAAAAAAUCCCUUCUAUUGAUAAAGAA